UGCGUAGGUGGUUUCUUAAGUCAGAGGUGAAAGGCUACGGCUCAACCGUAGUAAGCCUUUGAAACUGGGAAACUUGAGUGCAGGAGAGGAGAGUGGAAUUCCUAGUGUAGCGGUGAAAUGCGUAGAUAUUAGGAGGAACACCAGUUGCGAAGGUGGCUCUCUGGACUGUAACUGACACUGAGGCACGAAAGCGUGGGGAGCAAACA
RNAcentral lists this ribosomal RNA (206 nucleotides) under uncultured bacterium. Its description in RNAcentral is "partial 16S ribosomal RNA". It matches the Rfam family "Bacterial small subunit ribosomal RNA", at positions 568 to 774 of the family's 1533-position model. The record is from RNAcentral.